CCCUUCGGGGUGCUGACGAGUGGCGGACGGGUGAGUAAUACUUAGGAAUCUGCCUAGUAGUGGGGGAUAACCCGGGGAAACUCGGGCUAAUACCGCAUACGCCCUACGGGGGAAAGCGGGGGACUUUCGGGCCUCGCGCUAUUAGAUGAGCCUAAGUCCGAUUAGCUAGUUGGUAGGGUAAUGGCCUACCAAGGCGACGAUCGGUAGCUGGUCUGAGAGGACGACCAGCCACACUGGGACUGAGACACGGCCCAGACUCCUACGGGAGGCAGCAGUGGGGAAUAUUGGACAAUGGGCGCAAGCCUGAUCCAGCGAUGCCGCGUGUGUGAAGAAGGCCUGCGGGUUGUAAAGCACUUUCAGUAGGGAAGAAAAGCCGAGUGCUAAUAUCACUCGGUCUUGACGUUACUUACAGAAGAAGCACCGGCUAACUCCGUGCCAGCAGCCGCGGUAAUACGGAGGGUGCGAGCGUUAAUCGGAAUUACUGGGCGUAAAGGGCGCGUAGGCGGUUUGGUAAGUCGGGUGUGAAAGCCCCGGGCUCAACCUGGGAAUUGCAUUCGAUACUGCCUGGCUAGAGUAUGGUAGAGGGAAGCGGAAUUCCGGGUGUAGCGGUGAAAUGCGUAGAUAUCCGGAGGAACACCAGUGGCGAAGGCGGCUUCCUGGACCAAUACUGACGCUGAGGCGCGAAAGCGUGGGGAUCAAACAGGAUUAGA
Molecule: ribosomal RNA, 710 nt
Filed under: uncultured Gammaproteobacteria bacterium
Lineage: Bacteria; Pseudomonadati; Pseudomonadota; Gammaproteobacteria
Description: bacterial SSU rRNA
Rfam family: Bacterial small subunit ribosomal RNA
Source: RNAcentral